UACGAAGGGUGCUAGCGUUGUUCGGAAUCACUGGGCGUAAAGCGCGCGUAGGCGGCUCUCAAAGUCAGGGGUGAAAUCCUUGGGCUCAACCCAAGAAUUGCCUUUGAAACUUGAGGGCUAGAGUGUCGGAGGGGAUAGCGGAAUUCCUAAUGUAGAGGUGAAAUUCGUAGAUAUUAGGAGGAACACCGGUGGCGAAGGCGGCUAUCUGGACGACAACUGACGCUGAGGCGCGAAAGCGUGGGGAUCAAACAGG
This 253-nucleotide ribosomal RNA is filed under the name uncultured bacterium. RNAcentral describes it as "partial 16S ribosomal RNA". It matches the Rfam family "Bacterial small subunit ribosomal RNA", at positions 524 to 776 of the family's 1533-position model. The record is from RNAcentral.